GCCCGGCUAGCUCAAUCGGUAGAGCGUGUGACUCUUAUGAUUGCAAGAUCUUCUGGUCCAUCACAAGGUUGCGGGUUCGACCCCCGCGUUGGGCU
Molecule: non-coding RNA, 95 nt
Organism: Ciborinia camelliae
Lineage: Eukaryota; Fungi; Ascomycota; Leotiomycetes; Helotiales; Sclerotiniaceae
Source: the annotation of a GenBank genome assembly